CUGGCUCAGGAUGAACGCUAGCGGCAGGCUUAACACAUGCAAGUCGAGGGCAUCGGGAGUAGCAAUACUUGCCGGCGACCGGCGCAAGGGUGCGUAACGCGUGAGCAACAUGCCCGUAUCAGGGGGAUAAUCCAUGGAAACGUGGUCUAAUACCCCAUAGUAAUUAUGUAAGGCAUCUUAUAUAAUUUAAAGCUUUGGUGGGUACGGAUUGGCUCGCGUGACAUUAGCUAGAUGGUAAGGUAACGGCUUACCAUGGCUACGAUGUCUAGGGGUUCUGAGAGGAAGGUCCCCCACACUGGAACUGAGACACGGUCCAGACUCCUACGGGAGGCAGCAGUGAGGAAUAUUGGACAAUGGAUGGAAAUCUGAUCCAGCCAUGCCGCGUGCCAGGAAGACGGCCCUAUGGGUUGUAAACUGCUUUUGUAUGGGAGCAAUAAGGGCUACGCGUAGUCCGAUGAGAGUACCAUACGAAUAAGCACCGGCUAACUCCGUGCCAGCCGCGGC
This 504-nucleotide ribosomal RNA is filed under the name uncultured bacterium. RNAcentral's name for it is "bacterial SSU rRNA". It matches the Rfam family "Bacterial small subunit ribosomal RNA", at positions 19 to 518 of the family's 1533-position model. The record is from RNAcentral.